This 2116-nucleotide long non-coding RNA is filed under the name Heterocephalus glaber (naked mole-rat). RNAcentral describes it as "lncRNA (ENSHGLG00000038981.1)". Lineage: Eukaryota; Metazoa; Chordata; Mammalia; Rodentia; Bathyergidae. The record is from RNAcentral.
AACAAAUUGCACAGUCACCCUGUGUACAGAGGCCAUCACAUGCUCUCUGAUCAUGUUCUUACCGGGUGUAUUGAGCACGUGGUGCGGCUGGAGGAGGUGGAGUGGGAAGGGAAGGUGACUUGUCCACACUGACACAGUGAGUAAGUGGCACAGCCACUGAAGGGAACCCAGAACUCUGACUCACAAGCUACUCUUUCCUGACACCACCCUGCUGAAAGGUGUAGGAGGAACAGGAUGGGUCAUGGACAGCACAUGAGGGCCAAAUGUGAGUGAUUCUGCUCUGUCUUAUGUCCCCACCAUAAUACGCCAUCUCAGGCCCAAAGCCAUGGGGCCAACUGAUCAUGGACCGAAGCCUACAAACCUAAAUUGAGGAUGGAGACAGAGCCGCCUUUUGUUACCUGUUGUGACUAGCAGUGGUCCAGUGGUCAUAGGCACACUGCCUAUGAGGAAACUGAGGCUCAAGAAAUUUGAGUCAAGUUCCCAAGAGAAACAUCUUACAAGCAGAGAUGGGAUUUAAAGAGAGGUUGCUUCUAACUACUGGGCUCUACUACCAGCCAAUGAGACUUGAACAGUUAUCACUGAAACUGACCCUCAUUUUCUAAGGGUCAGGGAUGGACUGAGAAAAAUGGUACUUGGAAUGUAGACACCAGGAUGCACUGAGGCCCCUACCUUGCACAAGAGAAUUGUGGGCACUCUCGUGUCCCUCAGUAAUGGGCACUUGACUUGUCUGAAUGGCUUACAUGCAGCCCAAAUGGCAGGCGCUGGGACUGCCGGCACAACUGCUGUCGGGAGAAGGUCUGUCCCUGUGCCACCCUGGCAACAAUGGACCAGCCUAUCUAGAAUCUUCUCUGCUGGCCAAGGCACUCUGCAACAUGAAGCGGCAAAGAGAGUAAAAGUGCUGAGCUUCUGCCAUAAAUCCAGUGCUGCACAGCGCCCCAUCCAUUUGGACCACUCACUGUCCAUCCUCUGUGGCAGCGGUCAUAGCCACUGUGCUGAUAGACUCUGUUUGCUACUCUUGAUUGAGUCUGAGUGACCUCCUGAUAAAGCUUUCCUUUAGGCCGCAAAGUGCGCAUCUCCUUUCCAUUUCAAUCAUCUGCAUCAUAAGUGUUUUCCACUUAAUGAGCACACACAGCCAUGAACAAUCCAGUGUGACUUGUAGCACUGUUAUCACGAGCAUCAGUUGGAAGGAUGGCCAAAAAAUCUCACCUGGAAAAGCACAGGACAGUGAGCAUCUGUGCUCCAUGCACCCAACUGCACCGAGACCCUUCUGCACUAAUGAGCAGGGCAGGCAGCUUGCUCCAGCACAGCUCAGUCACCCUGCAUUCCCCAGGCAAGGUGCUGCUCCCAUCAGGAGCUAAAGUCUUCCUGGAAAAGGAGAGCUGCUUUUCUCUCCCUGUUGGCCACCGCCCACUGGAGAGGUAGAAAUUGUUAAAGAUAUGUUUAUCAUAGUCCCUGCCCCAGUAACAAAUCACCUAAUGUGAAAUGCAGGGACAAAACAAGUAUGUAAAGAACUUUCAGGAAACUAAACAAGUAUGAUAAAAAUCUUUGGAUUAUAUACAGGCAAAAGGAAACUGCAUUUUCUGACAAAUGAAUACAAGUUGUAAGUGAGCCUUUGGGGGAGGAAUAACCAUCUUUCCUCCAAAUUUCCAGAAACUUGGUGAAGAAAUUUUUUUAAUCCUUACACCCUAAUUAGUUUAGUAACAAAUGAUGAGCAUAGUCAAGACUGUUGAAAGUAAGAGAAACAGAACUCAAAUAAAGGGCAAUAUAUUUAUUCAUUAUCUAAAAAUAUUCAGAACAGUUCCAGAUAUUCAAACAAUGUCUUCAGACUUAUUCUACAGGCUUCUGUUUUGCCUUCCUCUCCCAAUUUCAUUCUCAAGAAGGUAAUCCUUUUUUUAUUUUUUUUAUUUUUUUUGACAAGAUGUCCAACAGAAGUUCUGGGCUAAUUUUCUGGAGCCAAGAAGAGAAUUUCUCUUUUCCAGUACAUAUAGCCUAGUAGACGCCAACCGUAGGCUCACAGCCUCGCCUCUGACAGUCUCCUCAGUAACAUCUGCUCACUCCUGAAGCAUCAGCCUACUGAACCCUCUUGUUGGCCACUUAUGAACCUUGUGAUCUGUCC